Molecule: ribosomal RNA, 457 nt
Filed under: Streptococcus mutans
Lineage: Bacteria; Bacillati; Bacillota; Bacilli; Lactobacillales; Streptococcaceae
Description: bacterial SSU rRNA
Rfam family: Bacterial small subunit ribosomal RNA
Source: RNAcentral
GACGAACGCUGGCGGCGUGCCUAAUACAUGCAAGUGGGACGCAAGGGAACACACUGUGCUUGCACACCGUGUUUUCUUGAGUCGCGAACGCGUGAGUAACGCGUAGGUAACCUGCCUAUUAGCGGGGGAUAACUAUUGGAAACGAUAGCUAAUACCGCAUAAUAUUAAUUAUUGCAUGAUAAUUGAUUGAAAGAUGCAAGCGCAUCACUAGUAGAUGGACCUGCGUUGUAUUAGCUAGUUGGUAAGGUAAGAGCUUACCAAGGCGACGAUACAUAGCCGACCUGAGAGGGUGAUCGGCCACACUGGGACUGAGACACGGCCCAGACCUCUACGGGAGGCAGCAGUAGGGAAUCUUCGGCAAUGGACGAAAGUCUGACCGAGCAACGCCGCGUGAGUGAAGAAGGUUUUCGGAUCGUAAAGCUCUGUUGUAAGUCAAGAACGUGUGUGAGAGUGGAAA